CAGCGAGCGAGGGUGGCGGGGAAGGGGGUGGGGGAAGGAGGAGGGAGGAGGGAAAAGAGCGCGGAGGGGGGGCGCCGGGCGUGUGUCACUCGCUCUCUCCCUCUGUGUAUAGAGGAUGUGCUGAAUGGUGCGCUUUGAGGCGGCGGCGGAGGAGCAGAAUCCGCCGCGACUGGCAGCCUCGGCUGCCCGGCUCGGCUUCUCUUCGCCUUCCGAGGCUCCUCAUCCACCGCGGGUUCCCGACCUCGCGUCCCGCCUGGGGCAUGGCCCGGCGCUGCGCCCCCGCGCGCUCUGCCUGCUGAGCGGCGCCGGAGGGAGGUGCGGAGGCCGGGAGGCCGGGGAGGCCGGCGGGGGAGAAGAGUCGAGCGCCUCCGGAGCAGAGAAAGGAGCCCGCGUCCCGCGCCCCGCGCCCCGCGCGCGGUUCCCAGUCCCUGCCGCGCUCGCCCGGGCCGCCCGGAGCCCAGAUGAGCCCAGAUGGCCGGGGCUCAACCCGGAGUGCACGCCUUGCAACUCAAGCCCGUGUGCGUGUCCGACAGCCUCAAGAAGGGCACCAAAUUCGUCAAGUGGGAUGAUGACUCAACUAUUGUUACUCCAAUUAUUUUGAGGACUGACCCUCAGGGAUUUUCUUUUACUGGACAGAUCAAAACAAGGUAAGAAAUGAGAUGUCUUUCUUACAUUUUCCAUCAUUUACUACUUUGAAAAGUAUUUGCGUAUCUUA
Molecule: long non-coding RNA, 715 nt
Filed under: Rhinopithecus bieti (black snub-nosed monkey)
Lineage: Eukaryota; Metazoa; Chordata; Mammalia; Primates; Cercopithecidae
Description: lncRNA (ENSRBIG00000046576.1)
Source: RNAcentral